Long non-coding RNA from Oxyura jamaicensis (ruddy duck), 1622 nucleotides. RefSeq lists it as uncharacterized. The transcript has 2 exons. NCBI's taxonomy places the organism in Eukaryota, Metazoa, Chordata, Aves, Anseriformes, Anatidae. The record is from RefSeq and is a predicted model, not a curated record.
GGGGAAGGCUCUUUAUGCAUUGCUUAGCAGUGCGUAUGAAACUCAGGCUGCCCUUUUCUUUGUGCUUUCCGAUGGCCUCCAGGCAGCACCCAGAUGUAUUUUUAGCAUGCAGAAUAGGAGAGAAAUUGCAAGAAAUUGUGCAGAGAUUAAAUAAGCAAAGAAGUUGAAUCUGGCUAAAUCGUUGGAUUUAGUCCUGCACAGCUAUAAGAAGCAGAGAAUCCAUCUGAGCCUAUGCAGGAUGCUGCGCUAACGCAUCUUCAUCAUUACCACCGUGAAAGCAGCUCAGGGACAUCUGCACACCAUUUGUCACAUAGACAUCCUCCUGGAGUGUGUCGCCGAUCUCCAGAAAGCCUGAUGCUCAUGGGGUUAGUUGCCCUGUGACUUGCCAGUCCCAUGGUGGAGCAUCUCACCCUGACAUGCACCUUUGGACAUGUUACGCACUUCACCACCUCGCCUAUUUGUGAAAUGGAGUGACCCCACGGAUCCUGGGUGCUCUUUUGUAAAGAGCACACCAUGUAAAAGUGCUGGGGAAGAGCUAGUUAUGGAUACCAACAUCUUGCCAAAACAUCUGCUUGUAGGAAUGGCAAGGAAUCCUAACACCCAAUUAAGCAGGUAUGGGAUGAGACAAACUGCUUCCUGGCUGUACUGAAGCAUUCCCCUUUAAACAGCAGCAGGCUUUAAUUCUGGUUUAGCAGAGCCAUGCUUGUGACUGUCAUCCCAGCAUCGGCCUUUCCCUGCUGUGCUCGUGUUCCCCUGGAGCGACAGUGAUCUCGUGCUGCCUAGAAUAACUCUGGGUGGAGCAGCUUCCCUGGCUGGGGUCUGGAAGCUGUUAGAUUAAACUCUGACAUGUAGUUACAGACUCAGGAAUCGGUGGACAGAAUCUUAUAGAUGUGCAAGUGGCAUCCACUCUCUGGGGAAGGUAGGGAAACAUCUAUUAACAUCUGGAGCUGGACUGCAAAAUCCCCAGUGUGAACCAGACCUAAUAUUUUAUGUUAAGACACAUACCAAAAGGGGGAUGAUCUGAAAGGUGUACUGACAGAGGAAAAUGAAUGAGCUCUUGCUUCAGUUUGUUUGUUUCCAAAAAGGCCUCAGCGCUGUGGUUUGUUAGUGCAGUUUUUGUUUGGUUGGUUUUGCUGUAAUUUACAGAAAGGGAUUUCUCUGUUUUCACUUCAGAAAUUAGAAGUCUUAUCUUUGUUUGGCUGGAGGGUCUCUAAGGAUGAGUGGAGACAUAGCAGGAUUAUGACCUUGGUAGAUCAAAAGAUAAGUGAUCAGGAAAGGAAGGAUUAAUUCUUAAAUUGCUAGAAACUUACUGUUGCUUCUUAUCUCUUUAAUUCAAAUAUUAGAAAGAUACCUGGGGUGAGAACCUAGAUGUUUGUAAGAUUCAUGUAUCUCAUCACUUAAAAAAAAAAAAAAUAAUACCUACUUUUCUCUCUGAAAAAGUGAAGAGCAAAGAAGAAAGGAAAAAUGCCUUUAUAGUUCUCAAAUAGCAAACACAUUUUUCCAACUAAUUUUUAAGCCUCCAUUACACAAGAAGAGUAGGUGUAAAAUAUAUGUUUCCUUUACAGAGCACGUUUAAAUCAACUAAAUAAAUGUAGCUUUUCACCACACAAAUUGUCACUUAA